RNAcentral lists this ribosomal RNA (506 nucleotides) under uncultured bacterium. RNAcentral's name for it is "partial 16S ribosomal RNA". It matches the Rfam family "Bacterial small subunit ribosomal RNA", at positions 28 to 523 of the family's 1533-position model. The record is from RNAcentral.
GAUGAACGCUAGCUACAGGCUUAACACAUGCAAGUCGAGGGGUAACAAGAGAAAAGCUUGCUUUUCUUGUUGACGACCGGCGCACGGGUGAGUAACGCGUAUCCAACCUGCCUAUAACUAGGGAAUAACCUUGCGAAAGUAAGACUAAUACCCUAUGAUUUCCUUUGAUGACAUCAGAUUAGGAAUAAAGAUUUAUCGGUUAUAGAUGGGGAUGCGUCUGAUUAGCUUGUUGGCGGGGUAACGGCCCACCAAGGCAACGAUCAGUAGGGGUUCUGAGAGGAAGGUCCCCCACAUUGGAACUGAGACACGGUCCAAACUCCUACGGGAGGCAGCAGUGAGGAAUAUUGGUCAAUGGGCGGAAGCCUGAACCACCCAAGUAGCGUGCAGGAUGACGGCCCUAUGGGUUGUAAACUGCUUUUAUACAGGAAUAAAGUUAGCCACGUGUGGUUAUUUGUAGGUACUGUAUGAAUAAGGACCGGCUAAUUCCGUGCCAGCCGCCGCUGUAA